RNAcentral lists this long non-coding RNA (4484 nucleotides) under Homo sapiens (human). Its description in RNAcentral is "non-protein coding lnc-AGPAT2-1:13". The record is from RNAcentral. Lineage: Eukaryota; Metazoa; Chordata; Mammalia; Primates; Hominidae.
GUGUCCUUAUCACAGGCUGCACUCCCAGCACAGCAGCCUGCGCGGAAACGCUCCUCUCCGCCGCCUUCCUGCCUGGAAGCCCGGAGGCGGAGGCGGAGGCGCUGGAGGCCCCCACCCAGCGGGACGGGAGGCUGAGGGGAGCAAGGGGAGCGAGCGGAGCCAGGUGGGGGCAGAUGUGCAGGAUGGGUCAGGGGCAGCGGGGUGGGAGGCCCAGCCUCCGGGGUCUGGAGGGUUAGCUGAGUACUUCACGCUGCACUGAUCUGUGGGGCCGCCGUGAUGUGGGUGCUAACGCUCUCCCCACCUGUUGGAUGGGGAAACUGAGGCCCAGGGCAACAGUGACCUCUCGAGGUCAGGCCCCAGCUAGGUGAGGCACAAACUCAGUCCAGAGGCGGCCCCGGGGGCUCUGCCGUCCACCCAGGCUCUGGCUGACAAGGGGCCCUCCUGCUGUGCUGGCUCCCGAAGGGGAUGGCCCGGACUGGGCCCAGCUGCCCUCUGGUGGAUAUGGGGCCACCCCAGUCAGGGUGGGGCUGACAGGGUCCAUGCUCCCUCCCGCCCUCGGACGUGCAGACUUGAAGAACGCUGGCGGGCGGGCUUGGGGGCCUAGCACCGGCCAGGUCACCAGUGCUACCUUCCUCUGAGUGAAUCUGCCGGAGGACUGAGCUGGGGUCCGGGAACGGCUUCCCAGCAGGCCCUGCAGCCUAUUCUGCCCCAGGCGUAAGUCAUGCUCCCUCCCUGGGAGGACAUGGCUGCUGGUGGGGUGCUGGGGCCACAUCCAGUCCUCUUGGCUUCUUGAGGUUGGGGUGAUGACUGCCCCCAGCACGUGAAACCCAUGGGUAGGCGGUGGGGACUGUGUUCCUGCCCUGAUGACACCUGCUGUGGGAAGGCACCAGAGCCCCUGCAGGCCCCCACUUCUGCAGAAGCACGGGGGGUGGGGGGUGGGGGGCGUGGGAGAGGCCCACAGAGGCUUGUGCCCCUCUAACCUGUUCCGUGGUGACAGGGCUCUCGCUUGCCUCCCGGGGAGGCAUCCUGAGCCCAGUGGCUAGAUUCAGGUCGUGGCCCUGCUGUGAGAGGGACCUUUGCGUCCCUGACUGACAGUGGGUGAGCCAGGCCGUGAGAGUCUUUUUCUGUUGGCCGUGGCUGGAGCCUGUGACCUGCAGGCCAGAGAGCGCAGGGCCACCUGCAGUCGCCGACCGGGCCCAUUGUCAUCUGUGGAUCUGGCUGUGCCUCAGUUUCCCACCCAUCAACUGGGGCUGGGGCUGUAGCUGAGUGGCGCUUCCUUGGGGGGUGGGAGAGGAGAGGCUGCCAUAUCCAGAGCACGUCCGCCCUAGGCCCUGGCCCGGCCCGGGGCCCUGCCUCCGCUAAUUUGAGAGGAUAGAGGAAGUCCCCUGUGGCCUCUCCCCUUCUCAGCUGACCUCACCCAUCUGGGGCUGCACAGGAAAUGCCCGGGUGUGCUGGGGCCUGACCCUUCUGCAGAGCCGGGGCCCCAGCGCCAGCCGCCCGCCAUCUGCUGACCUCUGGCCAGGCUCAACGCCACACUCUCCAAGGCUGACUCAGAGCCCUGGGAAAGGGUCAGGGGCUCCCACCUCCGUGCUGAGCUCAUCAGGGAGGGGCUCAGCACCUGGUCACCUCUGUGUCCUCACACCCCAGGCUCUGCCUGGCUGCUGCCUGCCUGGUGGUCAGUGCCUGUCACCCCCACUGUCCCCUCCAGGCCACAGGAAGAGUCUGAGCAGGGAGAACCCUGGUCUCACGGGCUCCCAGGGCCCUGGCACCGAGGGUGUGAGGAGCCUCUCCUGGGACAAAGGCCGAGGGGUUCCGGGGGUCCUUGGCCUCCGUGGCCGUUGGCAUGGGGCCCCCCCAACGACCCGCAGCCGGCAGAUGGGGCGGCGGCUGCAGUUCCCCCAAUGCUCACAGCGCGGCGGUGUUUCCCCGCGGAAGCUGCCCCGGACCAGUGGCCUCUACCCUGCUGCUGCCAGCCUUGGGCGGGGCUCCCUGCACGUGGGACACGCACCCCUCCCACCCUGACAGCCUGUGCGUCCCGCCCUGCGUGGCUUCUCUCCAAAGGCUCUUAAGAUUCGAGGAGAGGGGCGGAGAGAGGACCUGGCUUGGUUGGGAAGUGGGGCCUGGGACCCUGGGACCCUGUGCUCCGACCCCACCUGCAAGGCUGCGCCCUCCGCAGGGGGCCGUCCGGGGGGGCCCUGCCCGCGGGUCACUGCCAGGAUCCUGCAAGCAGCCAGCGGGCACCGCUGUCACCACAUUUCACACUCUGAGGAGCUCUGGGCACAGCCUCCAGGGAAAGCCUGGCUGCCGACUCUGGCCCCCUGACUCCUGAAUCCUGCGAGUCACACGGCGGCACGGCCUGCAUAUCGGGGAGGAUGGCAGGCUGGGCUGUCCUGAGGUGACCAGGGAAUGCCAGACGCUUUGGGGUGAGGGUUUGCUUGCCGGCUUUGGGGCAGGCCAAGGGAUUCUGCAGGGGCAGUAGGUCCCCGCGAUCUUCUGGGGAGGGGCCGGCUGCCGAAUCUCUGGGAUUCAAAUGUGGAAAACCCACAGGGGGCAUUCCCGUGAUGACUGAAAGAAGAAGUGGCAGCGUCACAGCUGAAGGGAGGCUGUCAGAGUGACCAGAGUGGCCAGUCCAGAGGAGACGGGUGGGGCAAAGUCUCCAGGAGGCCAGGAGAUGCCUUCAAGAAAAGAAAUGGAAAGGAGUGAUGACCUGAUGCGUGUGAGAACACGGGGACGAGCCUUGCGGCUCCGUGGGAGAGCUUGGGUGAGGACCACCCGUGCCGCGGCGACCUCUGAUCGUCACCCAAGCUGUGCCCUCCCAUUUCACGGUAAAAGGGGUUUCACCGGGCUCAAGGCUGUCCAGCUAAAGACCACGUCUCCCAGCCUCCUUGCAGACUCUAACUUAGCCUGUGACCAAGUUCUGGUCAAUGGGACCAGAGCAGGAGUGGGAGGUGUCACUUCCGGAUCUUCCCAUUAAAAGAAAGGGUCAUUCUCCAGGAGAACCCACCCGAGGUGUCCUGGCCGUAGCCACCUUCAAAAUGCCCUCUGUGUGUAUGGGAGAUACUAUACCCUAGAAUCUCAGAACACGCCAGAACGCUGAAAUGCCCUUCUACCUUUGGAUUUACAGCCCCCUCCAGAUAAAUUAAGAAAUUCAGUAUUUCUCCACUCUUAGCUGGAUUCUAAAGUUCUGUAUAUCUCAUGAUGAUGUGUAUUUUUAUAGCAGCCUUUUAACAGAACUAGUUAAUUUGGUGUAUAUGAAUUUUUCUCGAAGAUCUGGUCCAAACUAUAUUCAGUUUUCUGCCCAGAAUUAUCAGAUUGAAGGUGGUUGGUUUUUAUUUACUUUUUCUUUUAUUCCUUUUUUUUUUUUUUGAGACAGAGUUUCACUCUGGUUGCCCAGGCUGGAGUGCAAUGGUGUGAUCUCAGCUCACUGCAAGGUCUACCUCCCAAGUUCAGGUGAUUCUCUUGCCUCAGCCUCCCAAGUAGCUGGGACUACAGGUGCCCGCCCCCACACCUAGCUAAUUUUUGUAUUUUUAGUAGAGUUGGGGUUUCACCAUAUUGGCCAGGCUGGUCUCGAACACCUGACCUUGUGAUCCACCUGCCUCGGCCUCCCAAAGUGCUGGGAUUACAGGUGUGAGCUACCGUGCCUGGCCAGGGUCACUCUCUUGUUGACCCUUCCCUCCCUCCUGCAGGCAGGGAGAUGGUGAGAGGUGGAGCAGCCCCUUUGGUCCUGAGCCAGCCACGUGUUGAGAGCGGCAGGGAAGCCCAUCAGCCUCGGGACUUUCAUGUGAGGGAGAAACCAACUCUAUCAUGUUUAGAUUCCUGUUGUUUUGGUUCUUUGCCUCAGUAACUUAACCAAUAUUCUAACUAAGCAAGUGAAAAAGGAAGCAACUUUGAAUUCCAGGAAAAACAAAAAGUUAUAAAAAGGAAAUGCAUUUAUCAUAUAGUACUUGGCUCAAGAGUGAACAAUUACAGAGUUAUAUUAAUGCAAGUGCUGACUAUCCGUGUGAAGAAUUCAGGAUCCGUCGUCUGUUUGAAGGUGGGAGGGGAGAAGGGCAUGCACUGGCCAGGAGAGACGGGAAAGUGAGAUCCUCAUCUUCUGGUAGGAAGUCAACAGGAAGCUUCAAGGACCUGCAUGAUGAGCAUAUUAUUUCAAAAUAGGGAGUAAUGCCGGCUAGAAGAGCUAAGUUGGCUAAAAGAAUUUUAAGUGGGCCAGGCGCGGUGGCUCACGCCUGUAAUCCCAGCACUUUGGGGAGCCGAGGCGGGUGGAUCACAAGGUCAGGAGAUGGAGACCAUCCUGGCUAACACGGUGAAACCCCAUCUUUACUAAAAAAUAAAACAAAUUAGCCGGACUUGGUGGCGGGUGCCUGUGGUCCCGGCUGCUUGGGGGGCUGAGGCAGGAGAAUGGCGUGAACCUGGGGGGCGGAGCUUGCAGUAAGCCGGGAUGGCGCCACUGCACUCCAGCCUGGGCAAGGGAGCGAGACUCUGUC